RNAcentral lists this long non-coding RNA (488 nucleotides) under Daucus carota (carrot). RNAcentral's name for it is "long non-coding RNA (DCAR_LNC002915)". The record is from RNAcentral. Lineage: Eukaryota; Viridiplantae; Streptophyta; Magnoliopsida; Apiales; Apiaceae.
GGUACAAGUAGCAUACCUUGUGAAGCAGGGGGAGCUCUCAGUGCAUCAGAAUCGAUGCCCUUCGAAUAUGGGUCCCUAGAAGGAUAUACAAAACGCCAAUUACAAAAUACAAAAGGCCAAUUACAAAGUAAAAACCGCCAAAAGUUACUAUUAAAAACAAUCAGGAGACCAAUAAGGAAUUUUACUUUUACUACUUUCACUUGGCUUUAUUCUGAGGAAUAAUAAUAACAGCCCAGACAUGGAUGCACACAGAGAGAAUCAAACUCACAUGGAUGUACACAGAGAGAACCAAACUCAAAAUAUAAAGAUACAACAAUAUAAUUCCAUCAGCCUUUGACUGAAACAUCCUCAUUACCUUAUUUAAAUUAUCACAACUGAAAGGGUGUAUAUUAUUAAUAUCCUCCACAUACUCCACUUUUCCUUGAAGACAAAAAUAAUACAUUUGAACAUGCAUGUUACUAUUAUUUACAGAUAAAAUCAAUUGUAAU